UUCACCUAUUGAAGCCUUCAGCAGCGACUGUAAAGAAAUGCGUAGUUUGCUUGCAAGCAAUGCCACUUAAAUGCUGAGACAUAUGAAUCAGCAGCCUUCUAGGCUCACAGAUCAAAUUGUGGUAACCAUUCUUAUGGGCAAGAUAUGACCGGUCUUAACUAGAGUUAGUUAAGAAUCUACGUUCCGUAGGUGAACCUGCGGAAGGAUCAUUAAAAGGUUUCGGGUACCUAGUGCCCAAACUUCAACCCUAUGUUUUAACUAUACAUGUUUCUUUGCCGGUUUCGGCCGGCAGAAGUUUUCUCAAACUCAUUAUAAAUGUGUCUUCUGAAUCUAAAUUAAAUAAAUUAAAACUUUCAACAACGGAUCUCUUGGUUCUG
RNAcentral lists this unclassified non-coding RNA (377 nucleotides) under rhizosphere metagenome. RNAcentral's name for it is "partial ribosomal RNA internal transcribed spacer region". The record is from RNAcentral.